Molecule: long non-coding RNA, 766 nt
Organism: Ctenopharyngodon idella (grass carp)
Lineage: Eukaryota; Metazoa; Chordata; Actinopteri; Cypriniformes; Xenocyprididae
Exons: 3
Source: RefSeq, a predicted model, not a curated record
CCUGGAGCGGAUCUGAGUUACCAUGGAAACGGGGAAACGUCAAGCAGCAAGACUCCGUCUCGCUGUUGUUUUCACUGAUUUUAGAUUCACCAAACAUCUGUCUGAUUACUGGCAAUUUGCAGUAAAGACAGUGGACAAGUGAAGAGAGUGGAGGGGACGGCAUCAGAAAGGACCUUGAGCUACGACUGUCUUGGAUCACCCAAACCACAACUACACUAUGUGUCCAAGCACUGAACAAGGCUUUUCUCCUUAAAUAUUAAAUGUAUUUAAUUUAAGGCAGGGUUUAUUUUUCCUGCAUAGUGAAUUACUAGGUGGCUGCCUCUGUCAAAUCUGAUGCUGUCUCCAGCUAUUAACAAAACUCAGGCAGGCAGUCACAUGCUCCGAUACCCCUUUUCCACCAACACGGUUCUGUUGCAGGCUCCCGGCCCGUGUCCAUUCUCAAACUGUUCCACGCACCUCCACUGCACAAAAGGCAGUUCCAGGUCAGAAAUAUCGGUACCCUCCCUCUUCGACAUCCUUCGCCAGUCAUCACAUUCACAACCACCACAGUCAACGCAAGUCAAGGUCCCUGGUCCACAGCAUCAACCAUCUUUGUAGGAAGAUGAAUACUGCAUUUUUUGAUUUAUCUUUAAAAUGUACAGUUUUCUUAUGAAGUGCAAUCCCUCUCUAGACAGACUGAGGUCUAUUGGUCUUACAAAAUACUGUCAGACACUGCAUAUGAUGUUCUCAAAAUAAAAUAAAAAAAUAAUUAAAAUAUUUAAGAAUU